Hibiscus syriacus is the source of this 280-nucleotide long non-coding RNA. RefSeq lists it as uncharacterized. The transcript has 3 exons. The record is from RefSeq and is a predicted model, not a curated record. Lineage: Eukaryota; Viridiplantae; Streptophyta; Magnoliopsida; Malvales; Malvaceae.
CCAUUGUCACCACAUGUGUUGGCCAAAUUCUGACAAACACCAUACAGAAGAGGCUGAAUGUAUCUUCAACCCAGUUGCUGUACCAAUUAGCCCCAUUUCAGGCGGCCAUUCUUUUUGUCUCAGGUCCUUCGGUCGACCAGUUUCUGACCAAACAAAAUGUGUUUGCUUUCAAAUAUUCCCCUAUUGUCUCGGCAUUUAUCAUCCUCUCAUGCAUAAUCUCAGUAUCCGUAAACUUCAGCACAUUUCUGGUAAUUGGGAAAACAUCGCCGGUGACAUAUCA